This 436-nucleotide long non-coding RNA is filed under the name Salmo salar (Atlantic salmon). RNAcentral describes it as "lncRNA (ENSSSAG00000089558.1)". Lineage: Eukaryota; Metazoa; Chordata; Actinopteri; Salmoniformes; Salmonidae. The record is from RNAcentral.
GGUACAGAGUCAGUGUGGAGGUUAUAUACAGGGGGUACCGGUACAGAGUCAGUGUGGAGGUUAUAUACAGGGGGUACCGGUACAGAGUCAGUGUGGAGGUUAUAUACAGGGGGUACCGGUACAGAGUCAGUGUGGAGGCUAUAUACAGGGGGUACAGGUACCGAGUCAGUGUGGAGGUUAUAUACAGGGGGUACCGGUACAGAGUCAGUGUGGAGGCUAUAUACAGGGGGUACCGGUACAGAGUCAGUGUGGAGGCUAUAUACAGGGGGUACCGGUACAGAGUCAAUGUGGAGACUAUAUACAGGGGGUACCGGUACAGAGACAAUGUGGAGGCUAUAUACAGGGGGUACCGGUACCGAGUCAGUGUGGAGGCUAUAUACAGGGUGUACCGGUACAGAGUCAAUGUGGAGGCUAUAUACAGGGGGUACCGGUACAG